UGUAAUUUACUUUCCUUAGCUUGUGGUUGAGACUUGGGAUUUUCAACCCAGUCCAAAGUCCGUGAUUAUAAUACCAUGAUUGAUGAUUAAAUUGCAUCAAACUACACUCAAAUCUAUUUUCCAGACUUUUAAUGAGAAUAUACAUCUUUUAUGUUGACUUCUAUCCACAAAAAUAGUCUAUUACAACUUUAUAAUCACCUUAGCUGUUUAACCUGUAAUGCAUGUGUUUAUGCCGCAAUCAGACUAUAGGUAUCCCUUAAAGUUUCUUGGUUUUUAAGAUUUUUUUGAAGUGUUUUUUGGUUGUAUAACUAUUGAUUCAUGAUGUAAGGUGCUUAGUAAUAAUGUAUGCCUUUACAAUAUAUAAAUUCGACCCGAUAGGCAGGCUUUGUACUGGAGUGCUACAUGGCCGCAAGAGGAAGAAAUAUGGGCAAGGUUGUUAUUGGAUUGCAAGAUCUGGAGGCUAAUCAAUCUAUUCACCAAGUUAUUGAAAUCAUGACUGAUUUGUAGAAGUUAAUUACACUACUUAAAGAAAUACUGGAUGGGAGAAAAUGCUUAUAUUUGUAGAAACGAAAAAAGGAUACGACCAGGUCACAAGACAAUUGAGGAUGGAUGGAUGGUUGGCCAACUUUGGUCAUCCAUGGUGACAGAGACUAGUCAAAGGGAUUUGGUUCUACUGUCACUGAUGUUGCUGCACAUGAUCUUGGUGGGAUAAUUGAGUGCUAGGAGUCUUGAUUGGUUCCUUAUAGGUUUUAGUUGUCGUUUAGAAAAUUUAGGCUUGUUAGCCGGCUGUUAUCCAGUUCCUGUCAAAUAUAUAUGUGGUUUGGGUGGGACGCUCCUCUCAAAGGCAGGCGAUGUCACGGGUUCAUGUCGAUAGAAAAAAGUGUCCUAAACAAGAAUCCCAUUUAGCACCAAUACUAGCACGUAUGAGUAACUUUUUUCCUUGCUCGUGAGUCAUGAUCGAUUAUGUCACAUGUAAACUACAUGGUAGCCUAAAAUGUUUUGUAAAAACUUUGGGUUUUCACUAUCGGUUUAAUCCAUAUUAUUGA
Molecule: long non-coding RNA, 1046 nt
Organism: Spinacia oleracea (spinach)
Lineage: Eukaryota; Viridiplantae; Streptophyta; Magnoliopsida; Caryophyllales; Amaranthaceae
Exons: 3
Source: RefSeq, a predicted model, not a curated record